This 466-nucleotide ribosomal RNA is filed under the name uncultured bacterium. RNAcentral's name for it is "partial 16S ribosomal RNA". It matches the Rfam family "Bacterial small subunit ribosomal RNA", at positions 28 to 507 of the family's 1533-position model. The record is from RNAcentral.
GAUGAACGCUGGCGGCGUGCUUAACACAUGCAAGUCGAACGGAAAGGCUCCUGCUUGCAGGGGUACUCGAGUGGCGAACGGGUGAGUAACACGUGGGUGAUCUGCCCUGCACUUCGGGAUAAGCCUGGGAAACUGGGUCUAAUACCGGAUAGGACGAUGGUUUGGAUGCCAUUGUGGAAAGUUUUUUCGGUGUGGGAUGAGCUCGCGGCCUAUCAGCUUGUUGGUGGGGUAAUGGCCUACCAAGGCGUCGACGGGUAGCCGGCCUGAGAGGGUGUACGGCCACAUUGGGACUGAGAUACGGACCAGACUCCUACGGGAGGCAGCAGUGGGGAAUAUUGCACAAUGGGCGCACGCCUGAUGCAGCGACGCCGCGUGGGGGAUGACGGCCUUCGGGUUGUAAACUCCUUUCGCUAGGGACGAAGCGCAAGUGACGGUACCUGGAGAAGAAGCACCGGCUAACUACGUG